GACAUCUGGGGUGCCGCUAGGCUGAGAAAACACCCAUUGAACCUGAUACGGAUCAUACCGGCGAAGGGAGACAGACUU
This 78-nucleotide non-coding RNA is filed under the name uncultured Ligilactobacillus sp. RNAcentral describes it as "TPP riboswitch (THI element)". The stretch from base 5 to 71 matches the Rfam family "TPP riboswitch aptamer (THI element)", at positions 9 to 90 of the family's 105-position model. From Rfam's summary of the family: Vitamin B(1) in its active form thiamin pyrophosphate (TPP) is an essential coenzyme that is synthesised by coupling of pyrimidine and thiazole moieties in bacteria. The previously detected thiamin-regulatory element, thi box was extended, resulting in a new, highly conserved RNA secondary structure, the THI element, which is widely distributed in eubacteria and also occurs in some archaea. Analysis of operon structures identified a large number of new candidate thiamin-regulated genes, mostly transporters, in various prokaryotic organisms. The record is from RNAcentral. Lineage: Bacteria; Bacillati; Bacillota; Bacilli; Lactobacillales; Lactobacillaceae.